UACGUAGGGUGCAAGCGUUGUCCGGAAUUAUUGGGCGUAAAGAGCUCGUAGGCGGUUUGUCGCGUCUGCUGUGAAAACUCGGGGCUCAACUCCGAGCUUGCAGUGGGUACGGGCAGACUAGAGUGCGGUAGGGGAGACUGGAAUUCCUGGUGUAGCGGUGGAAUGCGCAGAUAUCGGGAGGAACACCAAUGGCGAAGGCAGCUCGCUGGGACGGUACUGACGCUGAGGCGCGAAAGCGUGGGGAGCAAACAGG
Molecule: ribosomal RNA, 253 nt
Filed under: uncultured bacterium
Lineage: Bacteria
Description: partial 16S ribosomal RNA
Rfam family: Bacterial small subunit ribosomal RNA
Source: RNAcentral